AGUGAACGCUGGCGGUAGGCCUAACACAUGCAAGUCGAACGGCAGCACAGAGGAGCUUGCUCCUUGGGUGGCGAGUGGCGGACGGGUGAGGAAUACAUCGGAAUCUACUCUGUCGUGGGGGAUAACGUAGGGAAACUUACGCUAAUACCGCAUACGACCUACGGGUGAAAGCAGGGGACCUUCGGGCCUUGCGCGAUUGAAUGAGCCGAUGUCGGAUUAGCUAGUUGGCGGGGUAAAGGCCCACCCAGGCGACGCUCCGUAGCUGGUCGGGGAGGAGCAUCAGCCACCCUGGAACUGAGACACGGUCCAGACUCCUACGGGAGGCAGCAGGGGGGAAUAUUGGACAAUGGGCGCAAGCCUGAUCCAGCCAUACCGCGUGGGUGAAGAAGGCCUUCGGGUUGUAAAGCCCUUUUGUUGGGAAAGAAAUCCAGCUGGCUAAUACCCGGUUGGGAUGACGGUACCCAAAGAAUAAGCACCGGCUAACUUCGUGCCAGCCGCCGCCGUAA
RNAcentral lists this ribosomal RNA (506 nucleotides) under uncultured bacterium. RNAcentral describes it as "partial 16S ribosomal RNA". It matches the Rfam family "Bacterial small subunit ribosomal RNA", at positions 29 to 523 of the family's 1533-position model. The record is from RNAcentral.